CAAUAGAAUGGGAGGCUUAAACAUUUGUCUCUCGAUGAUUGAAGCGGAGGAAUAUAAAAUGGUAGGCGAGAUAUCGUUUCAGUCGCCCAUUCCUCGAUUGGUGAUUCGAUUGUUGCUCGUCAACAU
Macadamia integrifolia is the source of this 126-nucleotide small nucleolar RNA. RefSeq annotates it as small nucleolar RNA snoR111. The transcript has a single exon. The record is from RefSeq and is a predicted model, not a curated record. Lineage: Eukaryota; Viridiplantae; Streptophyta; Magnoliopsida; Proteales; Proteaceae.